UAUUCAUUGAUUUUAUGUAAAUCUGAAGAAGAUUUCUAAUUUUACCCUUUGAUAUAGCUUUAUCAAUAUUAUUGUUUCUUGAUUCAAAAAGUAGAAGCAAUGGAUUCAUUACUUAUUAUUAGUUCCUGCUACGCAUGGAACUAUACCGGAGGGUGCUAUGGUAAACAACGAUUAAACCAGGUUUUAACAGCCAAUAGAAUCAUUUCUUUGUGGUGUAUUAUACUAUAAUCUUUCAUAAGAGAAACCGAUCAAAUUUUAAUUAUGGACUAUUAAAAAUUAAUUUUGUAAGUUUAUGACUGGAAGAUGUAGAGGCUUCACAUUUCACCAUGCGAGAGAACGCACGACUAUCCAAGGGCUGACAAAACAAACAGGCAUGCUGGAGCUUUCAUUUAUGGGGUUUAGCAUACCUGGAGGAGGCUACACGAAAUAAAUCUUGGUGGCCAAGUGGCAUUUUCAGUGUAGUUCACAUGUCUUGACUCUACUAUCAGCAUGGUGGCUAAGUGGCAUUUGCAGUGCAGCUCACAUGUUUUGACUCUAUUAUCACUGCUUUCCCAGUUUGUAUACAUGUGAGGGAGCUCAAGAUCGAAGCAAUACAUUUGGAAAUGAUCAUUUUGUUUCCUGCAAGCUUUGCCCAACAAAUACAGUCAUCGCCACUUUUGCUAGUGUUUGUUGCAGAAUGAGCUGAUAAAUCCUUUUUUCCUACAAUUGCUCUUGCAGCUGCAUCUUCCCCACUAGGGGUUAUUGGAGGUGCAUUAGCUGGCCAUGGUGUUGCUACCUUGGUACUUCAAUCAUUCUAAAAGGCUCAAUAGGAGGGCUUUUGGUAUCAUCGUGCAGAUCCAACAUAUGUAAUGCUUACUUAUUGGAUCCCUCAAACCUCUUGUACACUCCCACCUAAUGCUUCUCAUCAAGUGGGAGUUGGAUGUUUUGUGCUUAAUGAUCAAAAUCAGGUGCUAGUGGUGCUGGAAAAUAAUGGACCAUUUAGAGGCACGGUGUAUGGAAGAUUCCAACAGGAGUGAUUCAUCAGAUAUGUGGAGGAAUCCUGAAACCCUUUAUUCAGCGUACCAUGACAAGAAGGGAGAAACUGAGCACUUCAUCAAGCAUGGUAUGCAGAAGGCACUGUCUUGUUCGGAUAUGCACCAGAUGAGGACUCUGUAAAUCUUGGUGUUAUGAUGUGGAGAUUGACAAGCUUCUUAGAAGAGUACAAAUGUAUAUCUCAUUCGCCCGAGGUUUGAAUCUCAAUAAACAUCAGAUCCAAAUCAGUUAACAGCUUCUUCCACAAAAAAAUUCAUCGUGUAUCCUCUUCUAUAAUAAGAUUUAUCUACAUCUAUACAUGAUCAUGAAUUCUGAUGUAUAUAUACUAUUUACAUUUUGACAGACCUGGGGAGAGGGUUUUGGUAGAAUUCUCCACGAAAUAUAAUGUGGAUGAUAUAAAAAAAAAUUGCAACCAAAGCCUGCUGCCAGGUUCCUAGAUGUUGGGGAGACAGCUCAGAUUACACCUGUCAAAUAUUCCUGCCUGUCAGUCAUGCUUUGGUGCAGUGCUGGAGGGACACUGAUAAUUUGUUUGCAGGCAUCUUGGAUUGAAACUCCAAGCCAAUUGAUCUGCGACAUCCAUAUAUCUUCUUCUAUGGUCAUGUUUGUGCCUUCACAAAGAUAAAAAUGAUAGAAAACCAGGAAGAAUCAGAAUUGGAUACAAUAUUUUCAAGAGGAAUUGAUCCCAACGUCCUGGAUCCAUCGCAGUGCCACAGCCAUCCAGUUAUACCCUCAACAUGGCCCUCAAAGAAAGUUGUGAUUGACUAUAUCAGAAAAACAAGAAUAUGGAUACAGAAUGAGGCUGCAAAGGAAAAAUUGGAUACCAGGAUUUUCUCCCUGGUAAUUGAGCAUGAAAGAAUGCAUCAAGAAACCCUGACCUACAUGGUAGUGAUUGACUAUGUCAGAAAAACAGAAAAUAUGGAUACAGAAUGAGGCUGCAAAGGAAAAAUUGGAUACCAGGAUUUUCUCCCUGGUAAUUGAGCAUGAAAGAAUGCAUCAAGAAACCCUGACCUACAUGGUAGUUUUCAUCCAUGGUUUUAAAGCAAUUUUACAGUAGUUUUCAAUAGUGGAAAGUAGAAAGUGAUUACGAUUUCAUUUACCGGCUACUACGUCUAUCCAAAGAAUGAUCAGAGACUGCUCUUGUACCCUAGCCUCAUAUAUUCAAUGGAGAAGAAUGCCAGGAAACCUAAAAUUAAUGCAAAGGAUUGAAUCCUAGAGAGGUCAAUUUUUCAUGCCA
Cryptomeria japonica (Japanese cedar) is the source of this 2266-nucleotide long non-coding RNA. RefSeq lists it as uncharacterized. The transcript is spliced from 6 exons. NCBI's taxonomy places the organism in Eukaryota, Viridiplantae, Streptophyta, Pinopsida, Cupressales, Cupressaceae. The record is from RefSeq and is a predicted model, not a curated record.